This 231-nucleotide unclassified non-coding RNA is filed under the name Hevea brasiliensis (rubber tree). The record is from RNAcentral. Lineage: Eukaryota; Viridiplantae; Streptophyta; Magnoliopsida; Malpighiales; Euphorbiaceae.
GGAAUAACUUUGUGAAAACUAAUAGGUAACAACAAUCCUCUACGUGCCAAUUCAGCCAGCGCCAAACAGCCACCAUGCCAUGAACCAUCGCCCUCGCUAGGUGAAAAGAGCUCCAGGACAGAUGAAAGGAUUUCAUCGGAAAGCAAGUAAGUUAACCGUGAAGUAACACGACCAAUGCCUUUUGCAGCAGACCAACGCACAACAGUAUCCCUUAAGACAUACCGUAUCACG